UCGAACGGGAAGUGGAGCAAUCCAUGAGUAAAGUGGCGUACGGGUGAGUAACACGUGGGUAAUCUACCUUCUGGUGUGGAAUAGCCCUGGGAAACCGGGGCUAAUACCGCAUAAUCCCGAGAGGGGAAAGGUGAAAAUCGCCGGGAGAGGAGCCCGCGGCCGAUUAGCUAGUUGGUGAGGUAACGGCCCACCAAGGCAGAGAUCGGUAGCCGGCCUGAGAGGGCACACGGCCACACUGGCACUGAAACACGGGCCAGACUCCUACGGGAGGCAGCAGUGGGGAAUCUUGCACAAUGGGGGAAACCCUGAUGCAGCGACGCCGCGUGAGCGAUGAAGCCCUUCGGGGUGUAAAGCUCUUUCGGCAGGGAAGAUUAUGACGGUACCUGCAGAAGCAGCUGCGGCUAACUACGUGCCAGCAGCCGCGGUAAUACGUAGGCAGCAAGCGUUGUUCGGAGUUACUGGGCGUAAAGGGUGUGUAGGCGGUUGCUUAAGUUUGGUGUGAAAUCUCCCGGCUCAACUGGGAGGGUGCGCCGAAUACUGAGUGACUAGAGUGCGGGAGAGGAAAGUGGAAUUCCUGGUGUAGCGGUGAAAUGCGUAGAUAUCAGGAGGAACACCGGUGGUGUAGACGGCUUUCUGGACCGUAACUGACGCUGAAACACGAAAGCGUGGGUAGCAAACAGGAUUAGAUACCCUGGUAGUCCACGCCCUAAACGAUGCAUAUUUGGUGUGGGCAGUUCAUUCUGUCCGUGCC
Molecule: ribosomal RNA, 751 nt
Filed under: uncultured bacterium
Lineage: Bacteria
Description: bacterial SSU rRNA
Rfam family: Bacterial small subunit ribosomal RNA
Source: RNAcentral